UACGAAGGGUGCAAGCGUUACUCGGAAUUACUGGGCGUAAAGCGUGCGUAGGUGGUUUGUUAAGUCUGUUGUGAAAGCCCCGGGCUCAACCUGGGAAUGGCAAUGGAUACUGGCAAGCUAGAGUGCGGUAGAGGGUAGUGGAAUUCCCGGUGUAGCAGUGAAAUGCGUAGAGAUCGGGAGGAACAUCAGUUGCGAAGGCGGCUCUCUGGACCAGCACUGACACUGAGGCACGAAAGCGUGGGGAGCAAACAGG
RNAcentral lists this ribosomal RNA (253 nucleotides) under uncultured bacterium. RNAcentral's name for it is "partial 16S ribosomal RNA". It matches the Rfam family "Bacterial small subunit ribosomal RNA", at positions 524 to 776 of the family's 1533-position model. The record is from RNAcentral.